This is a long non-coding RNA of Phascolarctos cinereus (koala), 613 nucleotides long. RefSeq lists it as uncharacterized. NCBI's taxonomy places the organism in Eukaryota, Metazoa, Chordata, Mammalia, Diprotodontia, Phascolarctidae. The record is from RefSeq and is a predicted model, not a curated record.
AUUUAAGACACCCCCACCCCAUCCCAAAGAAGCUAAUGGGGGAAGACCAUAGACAAAAGGGAGUUGAAAAGCAAGGAGGGAUUGAGAGCCAUCCUAUAUUACAAACAAAAGGAACAAGAAGAGGUCAGCAAAACUAACCAGUGCAUCGACCAUAUGUCACAUUAUAUGCAAUUUUCCCUACCUGUGGUCCUCACCUGUGCAAAGAAUGGGGGAAGAUGAAUUUUUUUUCAUCUCUUUUUUUCGGGAAUGAAUGUGGUCAUCAUCAUUACACAGCAAAACCCGAAAACUCCUGAAACCGCAAAAACGAAAAAUGAAACUUUUGAAACUGAUACGACUAGUCAAGUGAAGCAAACUGAGACACUGGCCGAGUUAAAAAAAUGAAGGAAUCGCUGAGUCCCCCACCUCUCUGUCAGGAGGUGAAUAAUGCAUGUUCUUCAUCAUCAGGACUCUGGAAUCAUGAUGUUAGGGGCAGGAUUCAAAUGUAGGUCUGUCCUGACUCCACAUCCAGGAUUUGUUCUAGGAAACCAGACUCUCACACACACAAGGAAACACCUUUCGAAAAAGCUUCCUCUUGCUGAAACCACUAUUCCACGUCUGACACAGAAGCUGUAGA